AGAAUUAUUUGGGAUAUAAAGCCUUGUGAACUUUUUGUAGGUCAGUUUUGGAAGUUUAUUUGGAAGAAUUAUCCAGUAAUAGAAUUCCAAUCCACAGAAGGCACUGCUGGCAAGAUAAGCAGCACAGGAACGUGUUUGCCAGGGAGAUCAUCAUGCUGUCAGAAGGCAUUAAAAGAGUCUAAGCAGCUUCAGAGCCUGCUAUGCAAGACAAGAUGUGCACACAAAGUCACUGCUUCUUCUCGGUGAUUAGACCAUUUCCUAUCAGAUGAAGAAAUUCCAAAUCAAAAACUUCCAAGAAAAGUAUCUCCAAGACAUACCACUAGUUCAACAUGUG
Molecule: long non-coding RNA, 334 nt
Filed under: Parus major (Great Tit)
Lineage: Eukaryota; Metazoa; Chordata; Aves; Passeriformes; Paridae
Description: lncRNA (ENSPMJG00000010306.1)
Source: RNAcentral